RNAcentral lists this transfer RNA (56 nucleotides) under Salmo salar (Atlantic salmon). It matches the Rfam family "tRNA", at positions 10 to 63 of the family's 71-position model. From Rfam's summary of the family: Transfer RNA (tRNA) molecules are approximately 80 nucleotides in length. Their secondary structure includes four short double-helical elements and three loops (D, anti-codon, and T loops). The record is from Rfam by way of RNAcentral. Lineage: Eukaryota; Metazoa; Chordata; Actinopteri; Salmoniformes; Salmonidae.
UCUCAGUUGGUAGAGCAUGGUGUUUGCAACGCCAGGGUUGUGGGUUCGAUUCCCAC